This 428-nucleotide ribosomal RNA is filed under the name uncultured bacterium. Its description in RNAcentral is "partial 16S ribosomal RNA". It matches the Rfam family "Bacterial small subunit ribosomal RNA", at positions 354 to 796 of the family's 1533-position model. The record is from RNAcentral.
GUAGGGAAUAUUGCACAAUGGAGGAAACUCUGAUGCAGCGACGCCGCGUGAGUGAUGAAGGCCUUCGGGUCGUAAAGCUCUGUCGCAGGGGAAUAACACAAUGAAGGUACCCUGUAAGAAAGGAUCGGCUAACUUCGUGCCAGCAGCCGCGGUAAGACGAGGGAUCCUAGCGUUGUUCGGAAUCAUUGGGCGUAAAGCGGAUGUAGGUGGCUAUGUAAGUCAGGUGUGAAAGCCUGGGGCUCAACCCCAGAAGUGCAUUUGAUACUGCGUAGCUUGAGUGUCGGAGAGGUUACUAGAAUUGUUGGUGUAGUGGUGAAAUACGUAGAUAUCAACAGGAAUACCGGAGGCGAAGGCGGGUAACUGGCCGAACACUGACACUGAGAUCCGAAAGCGUGGGGAUCAAACAGGAUUAGAUACCCCUGUAGUCC